GAUGAACGCUGGCGGCGUGCCUAAUACAUGCAAGUCGAGCGAACAGAUGAGGAGCUUGCUCCUCUGACGUUAGCGGCGGACGGGUGAGUAACACGUGGAUAACCUACCUAUAAGACUGGGGUAACUUCGGGAAACCGGAGCUAAUACCGGAUAAUAUAUUGAACCGCAUGGUUCAAUAGUGAAAGACGGUUUUGCUGUCACUUAUAGAUGGAUCCGCGCCGCAUUAGCUAGUUGGUAAGGUAACGGCCUACCAAGGCAACGAUGCGUAGCCGACCUGAGAGGGUGAUCGGCCACACUGGAACUGAGACACGGUCCAGACUCCUACGGGAGGCAGCAGUAGGGAAUCUUCCGCAAUGGGCGAAAGCCUGACGGAGCAACGCCGCGUGAGUGAUGAAGGUCUUCGGAUCGUAAAACUCUGUUAUUAGGGAAGAACAAAUGUGUAAGUAACUAUGCACGUCUUGACGGUACCUAAUCAGAAAGCCACGGCUAACUACGUG
Molecule: ribosomal RNA, 497 nt
Filed under: uncultured bacterium
Lineage: Bacteria
Description: partial 16S ribosomal RNA
Rfam family: Bacterial small subunit ribosomal RNA
Source: RNAcentral